GACGAACGCUGGCGGCGUGCCUAAUACAUGCAAGUCGAACGAAGCUGUUUUAACUGGUGCUUGCACCGACUUAAACAACUGAGUGGCGAACGGGUGAGUAACACGUGGGUAACCUGCCCCAAAGCGGGGGAUAACAUUUGGAAACAGAUGCUAAUACCGCAUAACCACAGAAACCACAUGGUUUCUGUGUCAAAGAUGGUUUCGGCUAUCACUUUGGGAUGGACCCGCGGCGUAUUAGCUAGUUGGUAGGUAAUGGCUUACCAAAGCAAUGAUACGUAGACGAACUGAGAGGUUGAUCGGCCACAUUGGGACUGAAACACGGCCCAAACUCCUACGGGAGGCAGCAGUAGGGAAUCUUCCACAAUGGACGAAAGUCUGAUGGAGCAACGCCGCGUGAGUGAAGAAGGUUUUCGGAUCGUAAAACUCUGUUGUCAGAGAAGAACGUGUGCGAGAGUAACUGCUCGUGCAGUGACGGUAUUUAACCAGAAAGCCACGGCUAACUACGUGCCAGCCGCCGCCGUAA
This 523-nucleotide ribosomal RNA is filed under the name uncultured bacterium. Its description in RNAcentral is "partial 16S ribosomal RNA". It matches the Rfam family "Bacterial small subunit ribosomal RNA", at positions 28 to 523 of the family's 1533-position model. The record is from RNAcentral.